This 250-nucleotide ribosomal RNA is filed under the name uncultured prokaryote. RNAcentral describes it as "partial 16S ribosomal RNA". It matches the Rfam family "Bacterial small subunit ribosomal RNA", at positions 524 to 773 of the family's 1533-position model. The record is from RNAcentral.
UACGUAGGGAGCGAGCGUUGUCCGGAAUUACUGGGUGUAAAGGGAGCGCAGGCGGGACUGCAAGUCAGAUGUGAAAGGAGGGGGCUUAACCCCCUAACUGCAUUUGAAACUGUGGUUCUUGAGUGAAGUAGAGGUAAGCGGAAUUCCUAGUGUAGCGAUGAAAUGCGUAGAUAUUAGGAGGAACAUCAGUGGCGAAGGCGGCUUACUGGGCUUUAACUGACGCUGAGGCUCGAAAGCGUGGGGAGCAAAC